This 694-nucleotide ribosomal RNA is filed under the name uncultured marine microorganism. RNAcentral's name for it is "bacterial SSU rRNA". It matches the Rfam family "Bacterial small subunit ribosomal RNA", at positions 14 to 755 of the family's 1533-position model. The record is from RNAcentral.
UGAUCAUGGCUCAGGAUGAACGCUGGCGGCGUGCUUAACACAUGCAAGUCGAACGAACCUUCGGGUUAGUGGCGGACGGGUGAGUAACGCGUGAGAAUCUGCCCUCAGGAGGGGGAUAACGGUUGGAAACGACCGCUAAUACCCCAUAUGCCUACUGGUGAAAUGAAUUUCGCCUGAGGAUGAGCUCGCGUCUGAUUAGCUUGUUGGUGAGGUAAUGGCUCACCAAGGCUUCGAUCAGUAGCUGGUCUGAGAGGAUGAUCAGCCACACUGGGACUGAGACACGGCCCAGACUCCUACGGGAGGCAGCAGUGGGGAAUUUCCCGCAAUGGGCGAAAGCCUGACGGAGCAACGCCGCGUGAGGGACGAAGGCCUCUGGGCUGUAAACCUCUUUUCUCAAGGAAGAAGAUAUGACGGUACUUGAGGAAUAAGCCACGGCUAAUUCCGUGCCAGCAGCCGCGGUAAUACGGGAGUGGCAAGCGUUAUCCGGAAUUAUUGGGCGUAAAGCGUCCGCAGGCGGCUUUUCAAGUCUGCUGUUAAAGCGUGGAGCUUAACUCCAUCAUGGCAGUGGAAACUGAAAGGCUUGAGUAUGGUAGGGGCAGAGGGAAUUCCCGGUGUAGCGGUGAAAUGCGUAGAUAUCGGGAAGAACACCAGUGGCGAAGGCGCUCUGCUGGGCCAUUACUGACGCUCAUGGACG